AGACUUCCGGGGACAGCGCCAGCGGCUAAUGGCGGAGUUCCUCUAAGUGGAGGAACUAGCUCCGCGAAAACUGGGUCGCCCGCCACGGCGAAGGCGGGGACCCGUCAGAAAUCUAAGGUGGAAGAAGCCUGGGAACGUGGGGGUUCGGCAGGGCACCUGGAGCGCCCCCCUACUCGUGGGGAAUCCUUUUUAAGGGCUCCAGAGCGAAGUGGGGUGAGCGGCGCGGUGCUGCGAACUGAAUGCUACUUUCAUGGAGUGAAGCCGCACAGCCAUUGUCGGGGAGCGCUGACCUUUUUCCUGUGGACAUUUGGAUCUAAAGUAACUACCUGUGAGUAAAGUGAAGGAAUUGGACUUUUAACAAGCUGAAUUUGGCUACGAAUGGGGGAGGCGUAAAACAGGAAGUCCGCCUUCCUUUCUUUGUAAAUAGUGGGAAGCAAGGAGUUUUAAACUAAAGCCUGAAAGACUGCUUUUGACAUCUAAAUUUUCAGUAUAAAACUAGCGAACCCCCCCUUGGCUGCAGGGGAAAAGGGGGGGACUUCUGGACAUUAUUUCCCUGCAGAAAAAGAGGGUAAAAGUUAACGUUUCACCGCUCGGAACCUGGGAACGGCAGCCAUUAAAAUUGCUGCAUUGUGGAGCUCCGCAUUGACUGCGAAUAGACUAUCUAACUGUCAGUGAGUGAAACAUUGUUUCAAUUAUUUUCUCUUGGCUUAAAAGUUUCAACUAUGUUUCUGAACUAAAGUUUGAUAUUAAACAUACUGGCAUAAUUUGUUAGAGUAACUUUAAAGAGAAAAAUAAAAAGAAAAGGAUACUUUGGACUAAUAUAAGAUAAACAACAACUACUUCCCUCUAGAGGAGGACUUUGAAACGCUUAUCAGGAGUGGAAUUUUCCAGUUUUAAAGACAAAACCCUGGGAAUUGUACCUGACCUUGAGAGCCUUGAGUGUUAUGGCAGAUGGGAAGGAAAAAAUAGACUCAUUAC
Podarcis lilfordi (Lilford's wall lizard) is the source of this 978-nucleotide non-coding RNA. Lineage: Eukaryota; Metazoa; Chordata; Lepidosauria; Squamata; Lacertidae. The record is from the annotation of a GenBank genome assembly.